Molecule: long non-coding RNA, 298 nt
Filed under: Physcomitrium patens
Lineage: Eukaryota; Viridiplantae; Streptophyta; Bryopsida; Funariales; Funariaceae
Description: long non-coding RNA (PPAT_LNC014051)
Source: RNAcentral
UAACCAAAUCUUAUUUUAAUCUUGAUUGAAACUUUAAUGUAUCUUGACUAAAUCUUAGGUCAAAUCUUAAUUAAAUCCUAAAUUCUUAACCAAAUCCUAGACAAACUUUAAAUUUUAAAUCCUAAAUCAAACCUUAGACAAACCCUAAGCUCUAAACAAAUCCUAAAUUCUAAAUCAAAUCCUAUGCAAAUCCUAAAUCUUAAACCAAAUCUUAGACAAACCUUAAAUCCUAAAUCAAAUCCUGGAUAAAUCUUAAAUCUUAAAUCAAACCGUAGACAAAAUCUAAAUCCUAAAUCAA